CUGCUGGUGCUGCUGCUGCUCUGCUCUCUCCAGCUGACCUCUAGUGCUCCAAUUGCAAUGGAGCAACACUCCUGCUGUCCCAGUUUGACUACCAUGAAGAUCCCUCUGGCCCAGGUGGAGUCCUACACAUGGACGAGCAGUGACUGCCACCUUAAAGCCAUUAUUUUUCAUACUAAAAAAGGAAAGGAGAUUUGUGUGGAUCCGGACACUGUGUGGGUCAGCAGUCAUGUUGCCGCUGUGGACAGACGCACACAAUGAUAUCACAGCGAGGACUUCAACUACAACUCCCACAAUGCUCUCACUUAAAAAGCUUCCAUAACUUAUUGUUUUGUAAAUGGACUCUCAGAGUGAAGAACACUGAAACACAGAAAACUCUUUGGACUCAAUUUUAUGUAAAUAUUUUUAUUUUAAUUUAUUUUUUGUAAUAAAAAUAUUUUUGUUAAAAUGUUUCAUUUGUUUAUUCUUAAGACAGAUAUCAUCAAUAUUGCUGAACAAGCACAAUAACACUUCAUAAACAGCUCUACACAGUGGUACUGUGACACCGAGGAGAGGAGGACAGUGUGUUAAAAUUAUACCUUUCUUGCAAAGAGAAACGCACGACAUCUAACAAUGAACAGGAACUCUUCACAGACUUUAUCUAUAUUCAUAUAAGCAUAAUGUUUUUGGUAGAUGGAAUGUAAGUGAAGGGUCAAAUGCUACUAUGUGAUUUAAUAGAAGUUUUUUUUAUCCUCAGUGUAAAUACCAAAACAAGAAAAAAAAGGAGGGGGCAAGAACUGAACCCUGGGGCACACCAUCAAUAACAAGCAUUAUGAAAAAUUGGUCCUUACCAAAUAAAUGUCUGUGUCAAAAGAUUUUUGAAUCACAAUACUGACCUAAACUUUUAUCACAGUUUACAGAAUUAUCACAAUAUUGUAAUAAAAAAACGACAUCUUUAA
Molecule: long non-coding RNA, 935 nt
Organism: Colossoma macropomum (tambaqui)
Lineage: Eukaryota; Metazoa; Chordata; Actinopteri; Characiformes; Serrasalmidae
Exons: 3
Source: RefSeq, a predicted model, not a curated record